Molecule: ribosomal RNA, 253 nt
Filed under: uncultured bacterium
Lineage: Bacteria
Description: partial 16S ribosomal RNA
Rfam family: Bacterial small subunit ribosomal RNA
Source: RNAcentral
GAGGGGGGAUGCAAGCAUUAUCCGGAAUCACUGGGCGUAAAGCGUCUGUAGGUGGUGAUGCAAGUCACUGGUGCAAAACUCUGGCUCAACCGGAGGAAAGCCAGUGAAACUGCAUGACUAGAGUGUGGGAGAGGUAGAAGGAAUUCCCUGAGUAGCGGUGAAAUGCGUAGAUACAGGGAAGAACACCGGAGGCGAAAGCGUUCUACUGGAACACAACUGACCCUGAGAGACGAAAGCUAGGGGAGCGAAUGGG